Molecule: ribosomal RNA, 549 nt
Filed under: uncultured bacterium
Lineage: Bacteria
Description: bacterial SSU rRNA
Rfam family: Bacterial small subunit ribosomal RNA
Source: RNAcentral
UAGGGAAUCUUCCACAAUGGGCGCAAGCCUGAUGGAGCAACACCGCGUGAGUGAAGAAGGGUUUCGGCUCGUAAAGCUCUGUUGUUAAAGAAGAACACGUAUGAGAGUAACUGUUCAUACGUUGACGGUAUUUAACCAGAAAGUCACGGCUAACUACGUGCCAGCAGCCGCGGUAAUACGUAGGUCCCGAGCGUUGUCCGGAUUUAUUGGGCGUAAAGCGAGCGCAGGCGGUUAGAUAAGUCUGAAGUUAAAGGCUGUGGCUUAACCAUAGUACGCUUUGGAAACUGUUUAACUUGAGUGCAAGAGGGGAGAGUGGAAUUCCAUGUGUAGCGGUGAAAUGCGUAGAUAUAUGGAGGAACACCGGUGGCGAAAGCGGCUCUCUGGCUUGUAACUGACGCUGAGGCUCGAAAGCGUGGGGAGCAAACAGGAUUAGAUACCCUGGUAGUCCACGCCGUAAACGAUGAGUGCUAGGUGUUAGACCCUUUCCGGGGUUUAGUGCCGCAGCUAACGCAUUAAGCACUCCGCCUGGGGAGUACGACCGCAAGGUUG